UUGAACAACUCACCCAAGUAAAAACUGCAGAUCACAUUUCUGCAUCUCUGUCUCAAUCACAUUCAAAAGCCUUAGGGAAAGGUGUGUGUGGGACACCUGAAGGAGCAGCACUCAGCAGCCGUGAGCUGGAACCAGAGGGGACAGCUCUAUGAACUGGUGCCUCACACUCCUCCUCAGCUCUGAGGAAGGUCACACCAUUUGUAUGAUGAGUCCCAUGCCUCCUCAGCCCUCAAGGAGACCAGAUGCAGCAACAGCUCAUUUUCCUAAGCAGGGAACUCAGUAGGAGAGGUUUGGCUCUCGGAGCAACAGUUUGCCUUGUGCAGGUUAUGCAGAGCAGAGACAGUGUCAGCAAUACUAAGUACCAGUGCUUCCUGGACCUGGAAUGUCUUGGAAUGCUGCAUGAUUGAUGGACAAUCCAAAUGCUGAGAGAUCAGUAAGACCUUGUGGGCUGGGACACACAGGAAAUGGCCAUAGCUAUGAAAAAGCACAAAAAGUUAUUGCAAAAAAAAAAAAAAGGUAGAGAAGGUGAUUAUGAAACAAAACAUGGUAUUAGCAUCUGAUUUGUUUGCUAUGUAACUGAUGACAACUUUUUGUGAAUACCUGAUUUUACAGUUUACAGAGCUGCUUCCAAGUGUUGCUUGAGUUGUAAUUAACCAUAUGUCCUGUGCCUAAAUGACAAGAAGCUCCUAUCACACAAAGCUUCCCUUCCUCAGAAGAAACACAUAAGGAAAUGACAAAUUCUUCCUUGUUUGCUUCCCAGGAUGGUUUAAAUCUGUAUCAAAGGAAAAGAGGGGUAAGGGGCUGCAUUUUUUCAUAUUUCUGAGCAAGGGUUGUCAAAGACAGAUUCUGCCAAGUAGUUCUUGCUUCUCAUUGUCCAUUUGGCUCACUCAGUUAUUUGUGAUGUUUGCUGCACUUUGUCAUGAUCUCCCUCCUCAUGCUGGUGAGCUGUGGUUCCAAAUCUAAUGCUGCUGGUAGGACCAUGAAUUUCUCUUGGCUGUAAUGAUGAAGAUUCUUCAGGGCAUCACAAGAAGUAGAGCCUGUUGUGCCUUAACUGCCAUUGCUUUGUUUUUUCCCCUUAAAGAGCCAAUAAUCAAAAGAGAGAAAACAACAAAUUGCAUCCAGUUUUGCACUGUGCAGUAAGAAUCUGCAUUCUUGUUACACCACUUAUGUGCAGAAUGAGGUGAAAGGGAAGGCUCAGUUCUCAGGCAGAGCCACUUGGUCUCCCUGACCCUGGCAGCACUGCACAAAGGCAACAAGGCACUGGGCUUCCCACUAUGCCAAGGUCUAUCAAAUACUGAAGGACUGCCCAUGUAGCCACCUUUUGAGUCCAUUCUGUUGUCACUUAUUUCUUUUCACUUUGUCUUCCUUUGUUGUCUUAUUGACCCUAACAGCUGAACUGGUUUGCCUUCAAAAAUGCAGUGGCCUUCUUUGUAACUUGUUCUGUAAAGGAUGAAAAUAAAUGCAGCUAUGGAAAAUUGGCCACUGUGCCACUAACUAACAAAUUAGAAGUCCUGGAUAUAUUUCCCAUUCCCAAAAAGUCUUAAGCACAUUAUUUUAACACUUACCUUAAAUUAUUCUUUUCCUUACUACUAGGUAAUAUGCAACACUAUAAGACAAGAUCAGAAUCUUAAGGUUUUUAGAAAGGUGAAAAUAUUGGCAUUUAUUUUCUGUAAAUCAGAGUGCUUUCCUUGCAGCAGCUCCAUACCUUAACUGCAUUCUGGCAUUCCCAUGCUCUGCACAACUUCAUUGCUGCCCAGACUGUGUUGCCUUUCCUAUCCAAGAACAUUAGUAGCAAAGCCAGAAAUCUUUUCAUCUCCCUUCAUUUUGCUUUCUGUUCCUUGCAAAAACUUUGUGAAUAGGUACAGCUUCCUGCUGGGGAAUAAAGGAAGGGUGGCUCCAAAGCUAGCAGGUUUUCCUGUCUCUCUAACUUAGCUGCCAUCCUAGCUGGCAUUCUCUAAUCUUCAGCCACAAUUGCCUUUUUUUGUUUCUCCCCCAA
Apus apus (common swift) is the source of this 1996-nucleotide long non-coding RNA. RefSeq lists it as uncharacterized. The transcript has 3 exons. NCBI's taxonomy places the organism in Eukaryota, Metazoa, Chordata, Aves, Apodiformes, Apodidae. The record is from RefSeq and is a predicted model, not a curated record.